UUACCACGGUGUGGUCCAUGACUGGGGUGAAGUCGUAACAAGGUAACCGUAGGGGAACCUGCGGUUGGAUCACCUCCUUACGAA
RNAcentral lists this ribosomal RNA (84 nucleotides) under Gilliamella apicola. RNAcentral's name for it is "partial 16S ribosomal RNA". It matches the Rfam family "Bacterial small subunit ribosomal RNA", at positions 1454 to 1533 of the family's 1533-position model. The record is from RNAcentral. Lineage: Bacteria; Pseudomonadati; Pseudomonadota; Gammaproteobacteria; Orbales; Orbaceae.